CCUACGGGGGGCUGCAGUGAGGAAUAUUGCGCAAUGGCCGAAAGGCUGACGCAGCGACGCCGCGUGGGGGAUGACGGCCUUCGGGUUGUAAACCCUUGUCAGUGGGGAAGAAAAAAAUGACUGUACCCACAGAGGAAGCCCCGGCUAACUACGUGCCAGCAGCCGCGGUAAGACGUAGGGGGCGAGCGUUGUUCGGAAUUACUGGGCGUAAAGAGCUCGUAGGCUGGAAAUUAAGUCUUUGAACAAAUCUCCCGGCUCAACCGGGAACCGUUUAGAGAUACUGAUUUUCUUGAGAACAGGAGAGGGGAAUGGAAUUCCUAGUGUAGCGGUGAAAUGCGUAGAUAUUAGGAGGAACACCAGUGGCGAAGGCGGUUCUCUGGCCUGUUUCUGACGCUGAGGAGCGAAAGCUGGGGGAGCGAACGGGCUUAGAUACCCCAGUAGUC
This 443-nucleotide ribosomal RNA is filed under the name uncultured Clostridia bacterium. Its description in RNAcentral is "bacterial SSU rRNA". It matches the Rfam family "Bacterial small subunit ribosomal RNA", at positions 338 to 795 of the family's 1533-position model. The record is from RNAcentral. Lineage: Bacteria; Bacillati; Bacillota; Clostridia.